UACGAAGGGGGCUAGCGUUGCUCGGAAUCACUGGGCGUAAAGGGUGCGCAGGCCGCGCGGGCAGUCAAAUGUGUAAUCCAGGGGCUCAACCCCUGAACUGCGCUUGAUACUUCCGCGCUCGAGCUUUGGAGAGGAGUCUGGAAUUCUCGGUGUAGCAGUGAAAUGCGUGGAUAUCGAGAAGAACACUUAGGGCGUAGGCAAGACUCUGGACAAAUGCUGACGCUCAUGCACGAAGGCUAGGGUAGCGAACGGG
This 253-nucleotide ribosomal RNA is filed under the name uncultured bacterium. RNAcentral's name for it is "partial 16S ribosomal RNA". It matches the Rfam family "Bacterial small subunit ribosomal RNA", at positions 524 to 776 of the family's 1533-position model. The record is from RNAcentral.